This 457-nucleotide unclassified non-coding RNA is filed under the name Hevea brasiliensis (rubber tree). Lineage: Eukaryota; Viridiplantae; Streptophyta; Magnoliopsida; Malpighiales; Euphorbiaceae. The record is from RNAcentral.
GGCGUUUGCUCGCUAUUACAAAGAUUAAGUUUGGAUUUUGAUGAACAUGCUCAAGAAGUAGGCUCUUCCUUUGAUGGUCUGUCAACUGGUGCAUGUACUUCUCGAAAGGUUAACUUUAAUGAUAUUGGUUAUGAAUUUAUCAAGAAGCGUCCAAGUAAUCAACCUCUUUUCAACAGCUUAGCCUUGCAGCAAUACAUACUUCUGUGCGCACAGGUACCGGAAGGUGGACUAAGAGACAAACCUGGGAAGCCAAAAGACUACUACCACACGUGUUAUUGCCUGAGUGGCCUCUCAUUGUGUCAGUAUAGCACGUCGAAUGAAGAUUCCCCACCACUUCCCCGGGCUGUAGCAGGCCCCUAUUCCAACCUCCUGGAGCCUAUCCAUCCACUAUACAAUGUUGUUUUUGAACGUUCUAUUGAAGCACUUGAUUUCUUUAGGGGGAAAUAGGUAAUCUCUU